This 485-nucleotide RNase P RNA is filed under the name Candidatus Zixiibacteriota bacterium. RNAcentral describes it as "RNase P RNA component class A". It matches the Rfam family "Bacterial RNase P class A". From Rfam's summary of the family: Ribonuclease P (RNase P) is a ubiquitous endoribonuclease, found in archaea, bacteria and eukarya as well as chloroplasts and mitochondria. Its best characterised activity is the generation of mature 5'-ends of tRNAs by cleaving the 5'-leader elements of precursor-tRNAs. Lineage: Bacteria; Pseudomonadati; Candidatus Zixiibacteriota. The record is from RNAcentral.
AGAGCAGAAUAGAUGAUCGCCCCGAUUAUCCAUUCAAGUUGGGGCACGGGUCAACUCCUGCCCCAACAACGGAAAAAUCGGGGAGGAAAGUCCGAGCUCUCCAGGGCAAGCCCUGCACCGUACGGUGCGGGGCAAGGUGCCACGUAACUCGUGGGCCCGCAAGGGACGGAAAGUGCCACAGAAAACAGACCGCCCUCAAGUCCCGCCUCGGCGGGAUCGAAGGGUAAGGGUGAAAAGGUGGUGUAAGAGACCACCCGUUCCCGUGGUAACACGGGUCUGGGUAAACCCCACCUGAGAGCAAGACCGAGUAAGGAAGGAGAGGUGGCCCGCCUCAUUUCUCCCCGCCACCGGCGAGGGGAAGUUACUUCCGGGUAGGUCGCUUGAGUCUUUUGGCGACAAAAGACCCAGAUAGAUGAUCAUCGCCCCGAGUCCCGCUGACGGCGGGAUCGAGGGGAACAGAACUCGGCUUAUUUUCUGCUCUGGCA